This is a long non-coding RNA of Entelurus aequoreus (snake pipefish), 4321 nucleotides long. RefSeq lists it as uncharacterized. The transcript is spliced from 5 exons. The record is from RefSeq and is a predicted model, not a curated record. NCBI's taxonomy places the organism in Eukaryota, Metazoa, Chordata, Actinopteri, Syngnathiformes, Syngnathidae.
GUGUAUGAAUAAGAGUGGAUGACUAAGAGUGUAUGAAUAAGAUUUAUUCAUGUAUUUUAUUAUAUAAAAAUGGGAGCCAUUACCUCCCUGCUUGGCACUCAGCAUCAAGGGUUGGAAUUGGGGGUUGAAUCACCAAAAUGAUUCCCGGGCGCGGCCACCGCUGCUGCUCACUGCUCCCCUCACCUCCCUGGGGGUGAUCAAGGGUGAUGGUUCAAAUGCAGAGAAUAAUUUCGCCACACCUAGUGUGUGUGUGUGUGUGACAAUCAUUGGCACUUUAACUGAACUUUUAAUGAUGUUAUUCAUAUUAUUCAGAUUGAAAAGCUUAAGGGGCCGCAUGUGGCCCCCGGACGUUCAUUUGCCCAGGUCUGUGCUAAGGUGAUCUCUAGAAGUGGUCCACACUCCAUGUCAGUAGGUGGCGGUAAUGCACACCAGAAGGUUGCUUGCCAACCUGCUAUAAAAACAAAAGAAGAAGAAGAAGAAGAUCCACACUUCCGGGUGGUGAUGACGUCGCGUCGUGACGUCAUAUUUCAAAAUGGCAGAGCCCGCGGAAAGACCCCCUGGAGUCGACUCCAUUUCCCAAGAAAAGAUGUCAACAGCGCGACUUGUAACAAUUAUAAGGCCGAGGAGGGUUAUUUGAACACACACCAUUCAAUUAUUAUAAAUGAAAGUCACGUUUUUUAACCGCUCCGGUCUCGUCCCAGCGGAAGUGACGCUAGCACGUCAUCAGAAUACAACAGAUCAACACGACGAGAGAGACAUUCUGCCGCUGGACAAAGGUCACCGAGCAGCGACGAAGUUUGCAUUUUCGGUAGAGGUCCAGGGAGCCACGAGGGCGGUGCUAAAGAGACGCGGGUUGCUGACCCCCGGCCUACACCCUAGACUGGCCGCCAGUUCAUCGCAGGACACAUGAAAAAGCCUUCGCCCUCAAAUCAGAGAAGUAUUCAUUUACUCUAACAUGAUUUUUAUUCAGUUCAAUGCAUUUAUUGUCAUUGUCAUAGUGAAUAACACACACACUGCAUAGUAACCAUGUAUCAAAAAUGCAUUAGGUGGUGCAAUCCUGACCCAUGAAACGCGUAAACACAAAGGGUGCCACGAACGAUGCACAAAAUUCACAGUCUGGUAUGGAUCGGUACUUGAGCGGCGCCGUUCGAUACAUUUUUUCAAUACCCAAAAGAGGGAAAUGUUCAUGCCUUUUUUUUAACUUGUAGUUUAUUGAAAUUGUCGUUGUCCACGACAGAAAACGGUCGGCAAGGCGAGUUUAUUUACAGAGCACAGUUCGUACUACAGGCAGGCCAGUCUAGUACCCGCACUCUUUUACUACGAAGCCACGCUGUUGUAACACGUGCAGAAUGUGGCUCGGCGAUAUCUUACUGAAAUAAGCAGGGGCGGCCAUGAAAAAGACGUCGCUUGGAUGGCAACUUUUGUUGCUCCAAAACCUGUAUGUACCUUUCAGCAUUAAUGGUGCCUUCACAAACGUGUAAGUUACCCACUAAUACACCCCCAUAUCAUCAAUCUUUAUUGCAGACCUUAAGAUCCAUUUAAACAUAUAAAAACAGAAUAUAAUACAUUAAAAAACAAAACAAUAAAAACAUACAUUAAAAACAAAACAAAACAAGUUUUCCAUACAAUUACAGACGCUGGGUUUUCAACUUUGCGCCUAGAACAAUCCGGAUGGUUCUUUUCCUCUUUGGUCCGGAGAACACGACGUCCACAGUUUCCAAAAACAAUUUGAAAUGUGGACUUGUCAGACCACAGAACACUUUUCCAGUUUGCAUCAGUACAUCUUAGAUGAGCUCGGGCCGAGCGAAGCCGGCGGCGUUUCUGGGUGUUGUUGAUAAAUGGCAUUCGCUUUGCAUUGUAGAGUUUUAACUUGCACUUACAGAUGUAGCGACCAACUGUAGUUACUGACAGUGGUUUUCUGAAGUGUUCCUGAGUCCAUGUGGUGAUAUCCUUUACACGCUGAUGUCGCUUUUUGAUGCAGUACCAACACAAAUACAACUUUGAAACUACGUGCUUUCUGAGAAGAUUACCGUAGUAACUAGUAUAUCAUGCAAAAGCGCAGAUUCCAACCAAUCAGUCCAUCUUAGAUGAGCUCAGGCCGAGCGAAGCCAGCGGCGUUUCUGGGUGUUGUUGCAUUUAUCAACAACACCCAGAAACGCAGAGUUUUGAGGACGAAAAUGAAUUGAUACCAUUUUAGAAUAAGGCUGUAACAUAGCAAAAUGUGGCAAAAAAUGAAGCGCUGUGAAUACUUUCCGGAUGCAGUGUACAGUAUAAAGGGCAGAUCAAUAGAAGUGAUAAUUAGACGUUGCAGUUCAUGGGUGGGAUGUGAGAGAGGGUCACUGCCUGAGGAUACAGACGAGCUGUUGGCAAGUUGUCCUGGCACGUAUAGACCUGUUCCUUCUACCUGAGGGCCGCAGGUGAGGAGCAGGGUGUUGUUGGUCACGCAGGAUGCUGUGCACUUGCCUCAGACAGCAGGUAGUGUAGACUGUGCCCAUCUCUGGAAGACUUGAUUUUUUUUCAGCUGUUUUAAUCACCGAUUAGAGAGUCUGCUGUCAUGGCACACUUAUAAAAGCUCACUCUUACACUAGGAAGUGGAGUCAUUCAUUGCGCUUUACCUGACACAUGAAACGUGACAAAUACGAUCGCUGAGAUGAAACGGAUCAGGCCCGUGAACAGGUUCUAUCCGGAUGAAUUUGCUAAGUAUACAAAUGAGCUGAAAUUUUUCUAUGAAAGAAACUGCUGUUUUAAAUGUGUCCACUAGAUGUGGCAAUGGCAAUUCUUUGUAUCUUUGUAGAUGAUACUACAUACAGUAUGUACAAAAAAAAUAAAACACAUGAUGUUAGUGCAACAGUCGAAGAAAAUUAGCAAACUACAUAAAUAACAUCCUGUAAUUUGAUUUUGAUUUUUUUUUUUUAUCUUGUUAGAUUGAAAAUGAACACCAAUGAGUUGACUGAUGAACAUUAUCACGUCAUUUAUUCAGAAAGUAUAAAUAACGACAAUUAAAGGUAGAACACUAUUAACUGCAACAUGUAAGUGUAAAAAAACAACAUGAUUUGUUUAUUUUUGAGAAAUUCUAUUUUUAAACAAAGAAAACAAUCUGAAGUUGUCUUUAUUUUUAAGUUAUCGUGCCGUGAUUUUACCAGUCCGGCCCACUUGGGAGUAGAUUUUUCUCAAUGUGGCCCCCGAUCUAAAAUGAGUUUGACACCUCUGGCCUAGAUAAAUUGGUAAACAUCCUCACAAAUAUUGAUAUAAAGCAUUACCGUAUUUUCCGGACUAGAGGGCACACCGGAUUAUAAGGAGCACUGCCGAUGAAUGGUCUAUUUUUGAUCUUUUUUUCAUAUAUAAGGCGCACCGGAUUAUAAGGCGCAUUAAAGGAGUCAUAAUAUAUAUAUUUUUUUCUAAAUGUAAAAGACUUCCUUGGGGUCUACAUAACAUGUAAUGGUGGUUCUUUGCUCAAAAUGUUGCAUAGAUGAUGUUUUACACAUCAUCUUCAAGCCGCUUCCGGGUGCGCCGUUUUGUGGGCGGUCUUAUUUACGUGGCUCACCUUCGGCAGCGUCUUCUCCCCGUCAUCUUUGUUGUGAAGUGUCAAAAGAUGGAGCUAACUGUUUUAAUGACAUUCAGACUUUACUUCAAUCAAUAACGGAGCAGCAUCUCCUCAUCCAGAAACAACAACACCAGAAAUGUGUCCCGUGAAAAAUCGUCCGACCAGAACUCUAGUAACUAAAGUUCCUUGGGUGAAUAAUGAAAUGGCAACAGCAGAAGAUGGAUGUCCCAUAACAAGAAGGUGGAGAAAAAGAAGAAGCUUAUCGACUACGGUGUCGGCACGGACUACAAAGGCGGACCUGCACAAAUUUUCAGGUACCAGAAGUACCUCCGUGUCUCCGCAGUGAGCCGUGCGCCUCACCUGCCGAUCUUCCCCCUGGACUCUGACUGCCUUCCUCGACCCCCGCACUCGGACCUGGACUUCUGGACGCCUCUCUCCUGCCCCCACGGACCUCGCUCGGAUCACGAACCUCUUUUGCUUCGCCCCUCUGGACUUCUUUGCUGCCACAACCAACACACACUUACAAUAACCUCUGGUAACUUAUAUUUGGUUAACUUCUACACAUAGCCCUGCAUCCACACACAUAGUAGCAUACACACCCGACGUAAUCAUCAAGCUCAAAUAAAACCCGUUGAGCUAGACCUCCUGCUGUCGUACCGUCUCCUUCCCCCUUCGUCUUACGUAACAGUACCGGUACCAAAAUGUAUUUUGAUACUUUUCUAAAAAAAGGGUACCACAAAAAAUUGCAUUAUUAGCUUUAUUUGAACAAAACAUCUU